GACGAACGCUGGCGGCGUGCUUAACACAUGCAAGUCGAACGGAAAGGCCCUGCUUGCAGGGUACUCGAGUGGCGAACGGGUGGGUAGCACGUGGGUGAUUUGCCCUGCACUUCGGGAUAAGCCUGGGAAACUGGGUCUAAUACCGGAUAGGAGCCAUUUUUAGUGUGAUGGUUGGAAAGUUUUUUCGGUGUAGGAUGAGCUCGCGGCCUAUCAGCUUGUUGGUGGGGUAAUGGCCUACCAAGGCGGCGACGGGUAGCCGGCCUGAGAGGGUGGACGGCCACAUUGGGACUGAGAUACGGCCCAGACUCCUACGGGAGGCAGCAGUGGGGAAUAUUGCACAAUGGGCGCAAGCCUGAUGCAGCGACGCCGCGUGGGGGAUGACGGCCUUCGGGUUGGAAACUCCUUUCGCUAGGGACGAAGCUUUUUGUGACGGUACCUAGAUAAGGAGCACCGGCUAACUACGUG
Molecule: ribosomal RNA, 465 nt
Filed under: uncultured bacterium
Lineage: Bacteria
Description: partial 16S ribosomal RNA
Rfam family: Bacterial small subunit ribosomal RNA
Source: RNAcentral